CGGGAGGCAGCAGCAGGGAAUAUUGUGCAAUGAACGAAAGUUUGACACAGCGACACCGCGUGUGGGAUGACGGAUCUAGGUUUGUAAACCACUUUCAGGAGGGAAGAAAAUGACGGUACCUCCAUAAGAAGCCCCGGCCAACUACGUGCCAGCAGCCGCGGUAAUACGUAGGGGGCGAGCGUUGUCCGGAUUUAUUGGGCGUAAAGAGCUCGUAGGCGGUUCAACAAGUCGGUCGUGAAAGUUCAGGGCUCAACCCUGAAAUGUCGAUCGAUACUGUUGUGACUAGGAUACGGUAGAGGUGAGUGGAAUUCCGAGUGUAGCGGUGAAAUGCGUAGAUAUUCGGAGGAACACCAAUUGCGAAGGCAGCUCACUGGGCCGCUAUCGACGCUGAGGAGCGAAAGCUAGGGGAGCAAACAGGAUUAGAUACCCUGGUGAUCCUAGCUGUAAACGAUGGAUACUAGACGUAGGAACUGGAUUGACGGUUUCUGUGUCGCAGCUAACGCGUUAAGUAUCCCGCCUGGGGAGUACGGUCGCAAGACUAAAACUCAAAUGAAUUG
This 557-nucleotide ribosomal RNA is filed under the name uncultured bacterium. RNAcentral's name for it is "bacterial SSU rRNA". It matches the Rfam family "Bacterial small subunit ribosomal RNA", at positions 342 to 912 of the family's 1533-position model. The record is from RNAcentral.